RNAcentral lists this microRNA (23 nucleotides) under Magallana gigas (Pacific oyster). Its description in RNAcentral is "Mgi-Mir-184-P15o_5p* (star (passenger))". Lineage: Eukaryota; Metazoa; Mollusca; Bivalvia; Ostreida; Ostreidae. The record is from RNAcentral.
CCGUAUCAUACAUUCGUCACAGU